Homo sapiens (human) is the source of this 736-nucleotide long non-coding RNA. Lineage: Eukaryota; Metazoa; Chordata; Mammalia; Primates; Hominidae. The record is from Ensembl.
AGAGCCAACCUGCUGCUUCCUGGAGGAAGACAGUCCCUCUGUCCCUCUGUCUCUGCCAACCAGUUAACCUGCUGCUUCCUGGAGGGAGACAGUCCCUCAGUCCCUCUGUCUCUGCCAACCAGUUAACCUGCUGCUUCCUGGAGGAAGACAGUCACUCUGUCUCUGCCAACCCAGUUGACCGCAGACAUGCAGGUCUGCUCAGUUUGCGUUGUGUUUCUCCAACUUUGUGCCUCAUCAGGAAAAGCUUUGGAUCACAAUUCCCAGUGCUGAAGAAAAGGCCAAACUCUGGAAAAAAUUUUGAAUAUUUUGAGCCAAAUGUGAGGACUACAACCUGUGAGAACGGAAAAUAAAUCCUGGGACCCCAGACUCACUAAGCCAAAGGGAAAAGCCAAGCUGGGAACUGGCUUAUGCAAACCUGCUUCCCAUCUGGUUCCUAAAUAAGAUAGCUAUUACACAAAGAUAAAAAAGCUACAUCCCUGCCUCUACCUCCAUCGCAUGUAAAAUGUGUAUUCAGUGAACGCUGACCAAAGACAGAAGAAUGCAACAAUUUGCCUCUGAUUUACCCACACCCAUUUUUUCCACUUCUUCCCCUUUCCCCAAUACCCACACUUUUCCCCUUUACUUACUGAGGUCCCCAGAAAAUCUUUGGGAAAAGCACGGACCACAGUUUUUCCUGUGGUUCUCUGUUCUUUUCUCAGGUGUGUCCUUAACCUUGCAAAUAGAUUUCUUGAAAUGA